RNAcentral lists this unclassified non-coding RNA (731 nucleotides) under Hevea brasiliensis (rubber tree). Lineage: Eukaryota; Viridiplantae; Streptophyta; Magnoliopsida; Malpighiales; Euphorbiaceae. The record is from RNAcentral.
GCUGCUGGCCUCAGUAAUGACCACCUGAUCACUUGUCCAAGACACCUUCAAAUUCAAUGCCUUGAAUCGGCAUCUCACCACCAUCACCAGAAUCCAAUUUCAGCCUCCUCUUUAUAGGAUCACCCACGAAGAAAAAAGAGUUGAUUAACCCCAAAAGUACAAAAUUAUAAUAAGUGUGACCAAAAAGAAACAUAUCUUGUUGAAUAUCUAACUACAGCUAUUAAUUAGUGGUGCCCUUUUGAGUUAAUGGUGUGUGAUAAGACUUUUUGAAGGCCGAAUUGGGAUGAGAUCAUUGUGGAGAAGAAAAAUUGAAUUGGGUCAAUGAGUGUAGGGGCACAAGGAACGGGCAGCAUGUGCAGGCGUGUAGAGGGCAAAGCCAAAGUUAUGGUUUUCAAUUUUGUGACCACCGCCCUCAAUUAUACACUUCCUGCUUUUGAACUGGCUGUGAAAGGAUACAAUCAGUGAUAGUUUUGGGCCAGAAUUACUAGAUAUUCCCUACUUUUACCUGGAUAUUUGGAUCGGAUAAGAGCUGGAAUUUGCUGUUUCUGCUUUCUCUCCUCAGGGCAAUAGCCUUUUAUGCUAAAAAAGUCGCACAAUCUUGAUUCCUUUGAGGCUAUGUAGCGUACCAUUGAAGUUCGACCUCAAUUUUCUAAAGAAAUCUUCCCAUUUCAAGGUCUUUGUACUACUUUCAUUUAUUAUUUCUAACCUGUAGGGAAUACAAAGUUGAUUUG